RNAcentral lists this ribosomal RNA (507 nucleotides) under uncultured Glomus. Its description in RNAcentral is "SSU rRNA". It matches the Rfam family "Eukaryotic small subunit ribosomal RNA", at positions 569 to 1077 of the family's 1831-position model. The record is from RNAcentral. Lineage: Eukaryota; Fungi; Glomeromycota; Glomeromycetes; Glomerales; Glomeraceae.
AGCAGCCGCGGUAAUUCCAGCUCCAAUAGCGUAUAUUAAAGUUGUUGCAGUUAAAAAGCUCGUAGUUGAAUUUCGGGGUUAGUAGGCUGGUCGUGCCACCGGUACGUACUGGUCUUACUGAUUCCUCCUUCCUGAUGAACUGUAAUGCCAUUAAUUUGGUGUUGCAGGGAAUCUGGACUGUUACUUUGAAAAAAUUAGAGUGUUUAAAGCAGGCUAACGCUUGAAUACAUUAGCAUGGAAUAAUGAAAUAGGACGUUCGAUCCUAUUUUGUUGGUUUCUAGGAUUGACGUAAUGAUUAAUAGGGAUAGUUGGGGGCAUUAGUAUUCAAUUGUCAGAGGUGAAAUUCUUGGAUUUAUUGAAGACUAACUACUGCGAAAGCAUUUGCCAAGGAUGUUUUCAUUAAUCAAGAACGAAAGUUAGGGGAUCGAAGACGAUCAGAUACCGUCGUAGUCUUAACCAUAAACUAUGCCGACUAGGGAUCGGAUGAUGUUGAUUUUUUAAUGACUC